This 501-nucleotide ribosomal RNA is filed under the name Cryptosporidium scrofarum. RNAcentral describes it as "bacterial SSU rRNA". It matches the Rfam family "Eukaryotic small subunit ribosomal RNA", at positions 327 to 869 of the family's 1831-position model. The record is from RNAcentral. Lineage: Eukaryota; Apicomplexa; Conoidasida; Eucoccidiorida; Cryptosporidiidae.
GGUAGGGUAUUGGCCUACCGUGGCUAUGACGGGUAACGGGGAAUUAGGGUUCGAUUCCGGAGAGGGAGCCUGAGAAACGGCUACCACAUUUAAGGAAGGCAGCAGGCGCGCAAAUUACCCAAUCCUAAUACAGGGAGGUAGUGACAAGAAAUAACAAUACAGAACCUCACGGUUUUGUAAUUGGAAUGAGUUAAGUAUAAACCCCUUAUCGAGUAUCAAUUGGAGGGCAAGUCUGGUGCCAGCAGCCGCGGUAAUUCCAGCUCCAAAUGUGUAUAUUAGAGGCGGGGCAGUCAGAAAGUUCGGGCACCAUACUUGCCCUACAAUUAAUACUAAUAAAGGGAUAUUUACAUAACUUAUUCCAAAUUCACAUCCGUGAGCUUUAGGAGGGAUUUUUCUUGGAGAAACCUAGAGGGCUUAAAGCAGGUAAUUGCCGUGCAUACUCCAGCAUUAGUAAUAUAAAGGAUUCUCAUCUUCCUAUUAAUCUAGAAUCAAAAUAAUGAG